RNAcentral lists this ribosomal RNA (545 nucleotides) under uncultured fungus. RNAcentral's name for it is "SSU rRNA". It matches the Rfam family "Eukaryotic small subunit ribosomal RNA", at positions 301 to 835 of the family's 1831-position model. The record is from RNAcentral. Lineage: Eukaryota; Fungi.
CAAAUAUCUGCCUAUCAACUUUCGAUGGGUAGGAUAGAGGCCUACCAUGGUGGUCAACGGGUCACGGGGCAAUAAGGGUUCGAUUCCGGAGAGGGAGCCUGAGAAACGGUACCACAUCCAAGGAAGGCAGCAGGCGCGCAAAUUACCCAAUCCCGACAACGGGGAGGUAGUGACAAUAAAUAACAAUAUAGGGCUCUUUUGGGUCUUAUAAUUGGAAUGAGUACAAUUUAAAUCUCUUAACGAGGAACAAUUGGCAGGGCCAGUCUGGUGCCAGCAGCCGCGGUUAAUUCCAGCUCCAAUAGCGUAUAUUAAAGUUGUUGCAGUUAACAAGCUCGUAGUUGAAUUUCAGACCUGGCCGGGUGGUCCGCUUAACGGCGUGUACUUGUCUGGCUGGGCCUUACCUCUUGGUGAGCCCGGCGUAUUCUUUUUAAGUGGUAGCGUCGGGGGAACCAGGGACUUUUACCUUGAGAAAAUUAGACGUGUUCAAAAGCAGGCCUAUGCCCCGAAUACAUUAGCAUGGGAAUCACUAAAAUAGGACGUGCGGG